Molecule: ribosomal RNA, 350 nt
Filed under: uncultured bacterium
Lineage: Bacteria
Description: bacterial SSU rRNA
Rfam family: Bacterial small subunit ribosomal RNA
Source: RNAcentral
UGGGGAAUAUUGGACAAUGGGCGCAAGCCUGAUCCAGCCAUGCCGCGUGAGUGACGAAGGCCUUAGGGUUGUAAAACUCUUUUGGCGGGGACGAUAAUGACGGUACCCGCAGAAUAAGCCCCGGCUAACUUCGUGCCAGCAGCCGCGGUAAUACGAAGGGGGCUAGCGUUGUUCGGAAUCACUGGGCGUAAAGCGCACGUAGGCGGACUGAUCAGUUGGGGUGAAAUCCCAGGGCUCAACCCUGGAACUGCCUUCAAUACUGUCAGUCUUGAGUCCGAGAGAGGUGAGUGGAAUUCCUAGUGUAGAGGUGAAAUUCGUAGAUAUUAGGAAGAACACCAGUGGCGAAGGCG